This 422-nucleotide ribosomal RNA is filed under the name uncultured bacterium. RNAcentral describes it as "bacterial SSU rRNA". It matches the Rfam family "Bacterial small subunit ribosomal RNA", at positions 362 to 775 of the family's 1533-position model. The record is from RNAcentral.
UUUUCCGCAAUGGGCGAAAGCCUGACGGAGUGACGCCGCGUGGGGGACGAAGGCCUUCGGGUCGUAAACCCCUGUCAGAGGGAAAGAAGGGUGUCGGCGCGAUAACCGCCGGCAUCUGACGGUACCUUCAGAGGAAGCCCCGGCCAACUCUGUGCCAGCAGCCGCGGUAAGACAGAGGGGGCAAGCGUUGCUCGGAAUCACUGGGCGUAAAGGGCGCGUAGGCGGGAUGGCAAGUCAGUCGUGAAAUCUCUCGGCUCAACCGAGAAACGUCGGCUGAUACUGCCGUUCUUGAGGGAUGCAGAGGAGACUGGAAUUCCCGGUGUAGCGGUGAAAUGUGUAGAGAUCGGGAGGAACACCGGUGGCGAAGGCGGGUCUCUGGGCAUUUCCUGACGCUGAGGCGCGAAAGCGUGGGGAGCAAACGG